GAUGAACGCUGGCGGCGUGCAUAACACAUUCAAGUCGAACGGUGAUUUCCUUCGGGAAUGAUCAGUGGCGGACGGGUGAGUAACGCGUGAGCAACCUGCCCUUGUGUGGGGGAUAACAUCUGGAAACGGAUGAUAAUACCGCAUAACGCAACGGAAUCGCAUGUUUCCGUUGCCAAAGAUUUAUCGCUGAAAGAUGGCCUCGCGUCUGAUUAGAUAGUUGGUGAGGUAACGGCUCACCAAGUCUGCGAUCAGUAGCCGGACUGAGAGGUUGAACGGCCACAUUGGGACUGAGACACGGCCCAGACUCCUACGGGAGGCAGCAGUGGGGGAUAUUGCGCAAUGGGGGCAACCCUGACGCAGCAACGCCGCGUGAAGGAAGAAGGUUUUCGGAUCGAAACUCUUUAAGUGGGGAAGAUAGU
Molecule: ribosomal RNA, 419 nt
Filed under: uncultured bacterium
Lineage: Bacteria
Description: bacterial SSU rRNA
Rfam family: Bacterial small subunit ribosomal RNA
Source: RNAcentral